UUUUUAUUUACAAUGAAUCUAUAUAUUUUGCUUUAAGACCAGAAUAUUGUCGAAAAAAUAGCUAAAAAUUAAUUGCGUUUCAGAGUAAGAAAGAGUCCGGGAAACGGUCAGAAUGCACGAUUUUGCGUCAUUUUUUUCAGAGCUUCUGGGGGCCUUGAGCGGCCUCCAGACCCUUCGCCUCGCUUCGCUCGGCGAAUAUAUUUUGCCUCACUUUAAAAAGAAGCUAGUUACGGCCCUGGUCCAAAUUGUCAGACUAGGACUGCAACUGACGAUAGUGGAGAAUCAUUUAAGACUGAAGCUUCUCGGACAAUUAAUACAUCGUCAUGUACACAACACCAUCCCCCUUACCCAGAUAUCGGGUCUUUACAACACCAAAAAACAAUACCUGACUUCUUGGUGUCCUUUCGACUUUCAAAUCUAUCUCUUCUUCAUAUACACCGACACCUCAAUGUUGAUGUUGAUGCG
Molecule: long non-coding RNA, 465 nt
Filed under: Mytilus galloprovincialis (Mediterranean mussel)
Lineage: Eukaryota; Metazoa; Mollusca; Bivalvia; Mytilida; Mytilidae
Source: RNAcentral